UCCCUGGUGGUUCAGUGGUAACACUCUGCGCUUGUAAUGCAGAGGGCACAGGUUCAAUCCCUGGUUGGAGAA
RNAcentral lists this transfer RNA (72 nucleotides) under Bos taurus (domestic cattle). It matches the Rfam family "tRNA". From Rfam's summary of the family: Transfer RNA (tRNA) molecules are approximately 80 nucleotides in length. Their secondary structure includes four short double-helical elements and three loops (D, anti-codon, and T loops). Lineage: Eukaryota; Metazoa; Chordata; Mammalia; Artiodactyla; Bovidae. The record is from Rfam by way of RNAcentral. RNAcentral also lists the same sequence under 3 other names.